GACCGUUGAUACAAAGCGAGAGGAGCAAGGACUCUCUGAAGGAGGGAGUGUCUCUGUGAUUGGAAUUAAUUGUAUAGGAUAGUCAUGGAGGGGUAUUGCAAGAAGCCAAGCAUCUCUCCGUACGCACCACACUUCACUGAGUUUUAAUCAAUUGAUACGCCCUUUAGUUUUACGCUGAAUCAUGUCGAUCUGUGCUCUCCGUUUAUUGUCCAAGUGAGUGGGCGAAGGGGAAAGGGUUUCAUUCAUCUCAAAGUAACAGCAUUAGCAAUGUCAGAGGGAAGAGGAGAUGCACCUAUUGUUAGGAGGAGGUCAGCCAGCGUGGGACCUGUCAGCGUUGAGAGGAAUAUUCAAAGAGAUGAGGACCAGGGUGAGGAUGGUGAUGAGGAAUUCCGGGAUGAAGGUGUUCCUUUCUACAUUAACCGAGGGGGACUCCCUGUCGAUGAGGCCACCUGGGAUAGGAUGUGGAAGCACGUUGCUAAGAUCCAUCCUGAAGGAGAGAAGAUGGUACAAAGUAUUCGAGGAAUGCCGUACCUCCCCAAGGUUCCAAUACCAUGUGUGCCUACAUUUCAGCUGCCCACGCUUGUUCCUGACCGUCUGGAAGCCAUACAGAGAUACACCAGGGAAUUGCAGUACAAUCACACUGGAACACAAUUUUUUGAGAUUAAGAAAAACCGACCUUUAACUGGCCUGAUGGAUCUAGCACGAGAAAUGAUUCGAGAGUCUCUACCAAUCAAAUGCUUGGAAGCAGUGAUUUUGGGGAUUUACCUCACCAACAAUAUGCCUGGAGUAGAGAGAUUUCCCAUUAGCUUCAAAACUGAAUUCUCAGGGAAUUACUUUCGCCACAUAGUGCUUGGAAUCCACUAUGCUGGACGUUUUGGAACACUGGGCAUGAGCCGGCGUGAGGACUUGAUGUUCAAACCCCCAGUGUGCAGGACUUUAAUUGAUCUCAUCUCCGAGUUUGAGAGUUCCUACAAAAAAUGCUGGCACACGCUGAAGAAAGUCAAGAUUGGACAGUAUGUGUCCCAUGACCCCCACAGUGUGGAGCAGAUUGAGUGGAAACACUCAAUCCUUGAUGUAGAGAAGUUGAGUCGUGAGGAACUGCGCAAGGAGCUGGAGAGGCAUACCCGGGACAUGCGGCUAAAGGUCAUGAAGGGAGCAGCCGCGCCAUCAUCCCCUACCCGCGACAGGAAGAAGGAUUCAUCAUCACCCCAUCGCAGUCAGUCAAGCCCGCAUCGCAGGAAUGGCCGCAGUGACAGACGAUCUUCGGGAGAGAAGAAAACAACGGAGCAAAAAAACCUUAACGAUGUGGGCUACCAGAUCCGUGUGUGAACAUUCCACAGUGCAGUCCAAAUGUGACCAUUGCAUUGUACUAUUUGCAGAGAUCUUUAUCAAGUCCAAAGAAGGACUAUGCGUGCACUGAACUGAACUGAACUCUCAGAAUCCGAGUGAAGGAUGCCACAGAGUAUUUGAAAGUAGUGGUCAGCAGUAUUAAACCAAUUGUGACUUUUUACAUUUUUACUAUAUAUUUUCUCUAAUAUGUUUGACAAUAAUCUUUCAAUUGAAAUGAGUUAACAGCUCAUUAGAAAAGUUUAGAUUGAACUAAGAGCUGAAAGGAAACACUUUUGAUAAUACAUUGUCCCAAUCCUUUUGGGGUGGUUGGAAACCCCACUUGGAUGGUCUGAGACGUAGAGUUUUUUAACCAAUGUUUGCUCCUCGAAAGGUUCAGGGGGUAACUAAGACAGCGAGCCAUACGGACAAGAAAAAGACCCAGACUUUAUCCUUAGUCUGUACAGAUGUCAACCAGGGAUGCAAUAAGUUCACUUCAAUUACCAGCCUCCCAGAAUAGAAGAAUCAACCAGGGCUCCCAUUCUGCUGACUGCCCGGUGACCCUAAUGUAUUGCAGUUGGGUGAGGACAGUGUUCGACUUUGACCCGUUAAGCCUAAUUGCUCCCACGCAACACCUCACCAAAGAGUCAAAAUUAGCCACUAAAACCAAAUGCGCCUCCAUCACCCUCCCCACCCAGAAAUUCAAGGUUUUUGGAGUCUAGUCACAAACUGAGAAGCUGUUGAUAUUUUCUUUCUCCUGUAUGUAUGGCAGAAGGAUCCAAAUUACUUUGACCUCAUUUCACGAGAAACAACUGUCUUUAUUAACCUGCCUAGCUUAUACUUCAGAGAUAAUAAUGCAUUCCUUUCAGCAAAAUAUCACAGCUUGACUUACGUCCUCAUUAGACCUAGUGAGUUGGGAGUGAAUUUUGAGCUGUAUUAUACAGCCCCAAAACACAUCAGUGACUGUUAUUCCAUUUUGUUAGAGAAUUCCACAUGCUUUUCUUGUCUCAAGGGAGCAGAGCAUUCUAAAGUGAUAUGUUGAUUUGAAAAUAAGGAGAAAGAAAAUUUCUUUUAUACAACAAGAGGAAAAGUUAUAUGUUGGCCCUGCCCCACUUCAUUCUCAUAUACCAUAAGUAUCCCAUGCUGCAGGCUCUCUGGCUCUGUUUGGCACUAAGGUUUGUUGCUGAGUCGGGUUUGCAUGUAUUGAUAACAUUGGGCAGAUAAAGUUCAUUUUGCUUCUGCCCGGUUUCCUGUGUUUCUCAGACCCUCCAGGAUUUACAUUUACUAAGCAUAUAAAAAGCUAGUAUACUGGCAACCAUGUGACAAUGAUUGUUAUAAAAACCUACCUGGUUCACAAAUGUCUUUUAGGAAAGGAAAUCUGCCAUCCUUACCUGAUCUGACCUACAUGUGACUCCAGAUCCACAGUAAUGUGGUUGACUCUGAACUGCCCAAUGGGCAUUAAAUGCUGGCCUAGCCAGCGAUGCUGACAUCCCAUGAAGGAAUAAAAGAAAUGCACUUCUGAAUUUUAUAUAUUCUCUUUGCAACUCAAUAAUUCAAUUUUAUUUAUAACUUUUCCUAUUUGCAACACUUGACCAUUUUAAUUUUAUUACACAAUUUUAUUUAUCUUGAAUAUUGAUAUUAUCCCUUUCCUUUCUCUUUUUUCCUUUAUUUUCUUUUCUACUUAAACUGUGAAUUACAAAUUACAAUUAAAAACAUUAUUUUAAUAAUUGGGAAAUGUUAGGCUCACCAAUCCCUUCACUUUUUUAAAACCCUCCAAACUCAUAUUCUUGCAAUUUUCCCACCAGAAACACACCUAAUUGCCUCUUAACUCUGUUCGUGUUCUCUGGGAGUGCUCGACAGACCAUAGUUUGCUUUACCUCAGAGCCAAAUCAGCUUGACAUUCUCGAUGUGCUGGUUUGACUUUUGCUUCCAGAAUAUGUAUUGAUUGGUGAAUAACUGGGCAUCUUGGAUGAUGCACUGUGUGAAGAAUGAACCUUAUGAUGCAACAGUAAGAACAGUCUGCUCUGUCUGUAUAUUAAAAUAGAACUGGCAUUCUGAUAUCUUUCCCCUUUUAGCCACCUUAGCCACUAUUUGUAAUGGAUUGCCCCACCAAUGUUGUCAGCUGUUUUGUUGGUUGUCAGGUUGUCCUUACUAACUGGACGUUAAUUAGGAUAGCAUAUUUAAAUUAAGAAUGUUAUUGAAGUUUCAAUUUACCAUGAUUUUAAUAUAUUUAAAACUAUAGAUCUGACUUCAAUCUUUUUUUUGAAAGGCCAACUUUCACACUGAAAAGUGGAACUAGAUGAAGAAUCCAUGAACAUCUCCAGGGGUACAGAAAACAAAUUCAUGUGAAGACAGAGCUUUGACAUGGGAAAUAGUCUCCCAGGAAAGCAGUCUAUUAACAACCGGACCUGGUGAAAAUCUGGUUAUGCACAAGAUUAAGGGUAAGUACAGAUGGACAUUAGCAGUUAUUUGGGAAUGAUGUUUCCUGAACUGCUACAUACCAAGGUAAGCAGCCCAUCAGAAGUAAAUUUUGUAUCACACAUUGCUGGAUCCCAUUGUGAUUUAACUUCUGGCACUGCUCCAUUAUGGAAUCCAGGAUAGGGGUGCCAAAUGAUAAUGGGAGGAGAUUAAAUAGGGUAGGAUAUAUCUGCUCUUAUGCUGUGGAUUGUAUUGAGGCUGUAAACACAGAUUUGAAUGGGUUGUUAAGUCUAUGAUGGAGUUUUAAGUUAUCCACAGCGCAGAAACAGACCAUUCAAUGCCAGUAUUCCAUGUAAGCCUCCUUCUCUUUCAUCUAAACUCAAAUACAUAACAUUUUAUUCAUUUCGUCAUCUUGGUUUUCCAACUUCCCCCUUAAAUGUUUUUCUGUUUUUCAUCUCACUGACUCUUGUGGUAAGGUACUGCUUAUUCUCACCAUUCAGUGGGUGAAGAUUUCUGCUGAAUUCCUCCUGGAUUUAUUAAUGACUGACUGACUGUUAUGUUUACGGCUCCACUUCUAAGUGGAUCCAUGAUUGAAAACAUCACCUCUACAUCUAUCCUGUCAAACCCUCUUAAUGCUAAGUACGUCAUCACUAUUUUCUCAAGAAAAAAACCCUGCUAUUGCAUGAGAGGAAAGAACUGAAGCCCAAUGUUUAUUUCCUAAUAACUCAGUAAUUACAAAUGAAUCUGGAUGUGAGUUUACUCGCUGAGCUGUAAGGUUCGUUUUUAGACGUUUCGUCACCAUUCUAGGUAACAUCAUCAGUGAGCCUCCGACAAAGGCUCGCUAAAAACUCAAAACUCGCUAACAAAUGAAUCUUUUUACACCUUCUCCAAGAUUUCAAUUUCCUUUUUAUAAUCUGUUCACGGUAGUCCAAAUAUAAUCUAACCAAGAUGCUGGGCAGGUUUUAAUGUAGCUUCUCGACUUUUCAAUUCUAUCCCACAGGAAAUGGAUCUCCCCCCACACCUAUAUCACCACCACUAAUUGCUUGGUUUGUUUAAUUCAUUGGCUCAUUGGAUAAGCAUAUGGACGUACAUGGAAUAGUGUAGGUUAGAUGGGCUUCAGAUCGGUGUGACAGGUCAGCACAACAUCAAGGGCCGAAGGGCCUGUACUGUGCUGUAAUGUUCCAUGUUCUAUGUUCUUUACUAACUUGGAUUGUUACUUUUAGUACUCUGUGCAUUAGUAUUCCCAGAUUCCUGUGUUCCUCUGCCUAUUUGGAAAAGUGGGAGUUUAACCAACCAUCACCUUUAAAGUAACAUGGGACAAUAGAUCCCACAGCCAAACAUUGAUAGUUAAGAGAAGCAGCAAUGUUAUGAGCAGAGGAGCAAUGCUGAUUGGAGCAACAACACUUCUUCCUCAUCCUUCUGCUGCUUCACAGGAUAGUGGGGAUUAAUAUGGAUCUCCAGUUCAGAGGAGAUCCCUUUGGGUAUCCCCCCCAUAGGGUAUACAAGCAGAUUAAUUUUAAAGACUGAGCACCAAUGCUUCAAGAAGCUCCAGCAUCUUCAACAGAUCAUUACUGGCGUUUCCUGCCAAGUGAGCCAGGUGGGCACACCCUCAGUGAGGCUCAAGGUCACCACAGCCCAACAUUUCUGUGUUGUUAGCUCCUUCCAAAGAUCUACUUGUUACAUGCAGGAUUUCACAAUCUGCAAAGUAACGGGUACAUCUAUCUCCCUGGUGUUUAAUGCAAUGCUUGCCACCUACAUGCACACCUCCAAACAGCAUUUAUCAAAUACAAUGGAUUACAUGCCAAUAAUGUUUUUAGCUGCUGUAUGACUAGAUUAUCAUGCUUGUCUGUGCAAGAUGACCAGGAACCUGCUAUAAUGACUUGAUUCUAAGCUGGCCAUUGUUCUUCACACCUCCAACAAUGACAGGUGAUAGCUCCUCGAAGAUCAGUUCUACCUUCUAAAUGCUAACAGUAAAUGUGACAAUCUGGCAUUCUUUUAAAUACCCAACUAAUUUCUCUCGUGGAGCCACAAUUCUUCCAGUUAUUUUUAUGUUGUGUAACUGAAGUAGCUUCAGAAAAACAUGAGACAGACUGCUCAUCAUUUCUGAUGAAGGGUCUAGGCCCGAAAUGUCAGCUUUUCUGCUCCUAAGAUGCUGCUUGGCCUGCUGUGUUCAUCCAGCUCCACACUUUGUUAUCCCAGACUGCUCAUUCUCCUGCUGUACCUGCUGAGGUACUAGUGGUCAAUUUUAUCUUCGUUUUGGAGUCUGUGAGGAUGCUGCUAAACAUUGAACCUAACAAGGGGCAGACUUAGUCAUGAACAGGAGGCAACUGACCUCCUGACUUGUCAUGGAGGCAGGGGGAGAAGUGAGAACACCUUGGGCAGAAUCCCAUUUUUCUUUGAGGCGUUUCUUUAUCUUCCUUUGUGGCUCAACCGUACCUCCCUGGUGGUUAAGAGCUGGAGGUCACUUACUGCAGUUCAGUGCUGUACAAUGACCAGAGCAAGGCCAUAUUCUGUUCUGGUUACACCAUCAGAUUAGUGUGAAGACCCAAAGACAGUCUGGCUAUGUGUCAAUGGUUCUUCAUUUCUUGGAGGUGGAUGUCAGUGCAAAGGACUGAGAUAUUGUGACAUUUGUUUUGGAGAUGGAUCAUUCCAAUCUCUCUCCAAUGGUGCAUGUUGCAGCUAGAAAUGCUGACCAAUCUUUGCACAUUUUCUCUCUCCAAUUCAUGGAAUGGUUGAAUUGUUAUCACACAGAAGGGAUCUAUUCAGUCAGUUUAGCCUUUACUGGAUCUGGCAGAGCACUUCAGAUUCCACUGUCCCACCCUCUUUCUCCUCUCCCUGUAGCCUGUUCUUUCUUUCACUUCGUAUAUAUCCAACCCAAAACAGAAACCUUCUUCCAUUAUGCUUUCAGGUAUUGUAGUACAUUCUAGAUCAUAACCACUUGCUGCAGUGGAACUAUUACCAGAUCAUAUGGAAGACUAUUGUAAACCUUCUUGCAAUCUGAGGAGCAAUCAUUCACAACUAUUCUCUGUUCCUUUCACACUAUCUAAUUUGGUAUCCAUGUUGUUGUUGUCCCUCUUAUUCUAUGUGCUUCAACUUUGCCAUGUGACUCUUCAACAAAUGUAUUUUGAAGUCCGUAUACACCAAAUGAAACAAAUUGCUUUUCAUUAACCAUCUCUGUUAUCUCACCAAAAACUCAGUAAAAUUUGUUAAAUUUAACUUCCUUUUAACAAAUCCAUUCUGGCUUUUCUUAAUUCAACUACGCUUGUGCAAGUGAUUGUUAACUUUGGCCUAGACUAUAAUUUCUAAAAUCUUUCCCAUCACCAAGGCUAAACUGACUGGCCUGUAAUUACUAGGCUUUGUCUUGCUUCCCCUUUUUGAAUAAGGUGUGCAGUUCUUCUCUGGAAUAGUCCCUGCAUCUAAGGAGAUUAGAUAAUCAUGGUCAAUAGCUCUGCAGCUUCUAUCUUACCUUCUCACAUUAUCCUCCUGCCAUCUGAUCUAGUCCUGGUGAGUUUUCAGCUUUAGAAGCAGCCAUUAUUUUUAACAUCUCCCUGCUAUCAAAUGUUAGCUGAUCUUAUUUCUCAAUUUUUUCCUCUCUUGGUAUGACUUUGGCAACGUCUUCUUCCUCGACAAGAACAGCUACAAACUAGCUCUGAGAAUUUUCCUCUUUUCUCACUGCGUGUUGUAUUCUUAAAAAGUUUGUAAGAAGCUGCAACAAGUAAUUAGGAAAGCUAAUAGAAAGUUAUCAUUUAUUGCCAUGGGAACUGAAUACAAAAGGAGGGAGGUGAUGGUUCAUUUAUGCAGAAUAUGAACGAGACUGCAUCUGGAGCCCUGUAUUAGUCUUGUUAUUUAAAGAAGGAUGUAAGUGCAUUGGAAGUAAUUCAGAGAUUUGCCAGACUAAUACCUGGAAUAUGUUAGUUGUCUUACGAUGAAAGAAUACGCAGGUUAAGAUGAAUCUACUGGAAUUUAGACUAUGAAAAUAAGACACAUCCUAUUUAAUACAGUUGAGGAGAUUUUUGUUCUUGCAGUUUUCUCUGGGACUUUGGAACACUGUCAGAGGGUGGUGGAAGCUGUAAUGAUUGUAACAAGGUCCGCCAGCUGGACCUCAUUGAAUAUGUGAUCCCUGAUUGGGCUGUUAAUCUGGUUCACUCAGGGAACUCUAGCUGACAAAUAAAAACGGGAGCUGUAGCAGUUCUGUUCACUCUGACAGCUGGCUCUGAGGGAGCUGGAACAUUGUCAAGGACGCUCCACCUUCAAAUAAAGGGUGACUUGGUAAUGGGAUACCAGCCUUGUGGAGUUGUUUCAAUGGCAACAAGAGAAAAGCAUGCUCCUGAAGAAAUUCACUUGCAACAGUUGUCUUUGAGUUAGGGGAGGCAUUGCUGGCAUCAUGCCAUACUUAGAAAGCUUGUCUAGAAGUUUGACUAGUUUGAUCCUGCCAUUGUAGACUGGGCCCAGUAUGUGGAAAGAAUGCUUUAUUUUUUCCAGGAAAUGACAUUGACGUUGGGGCAGUUCAAGAGCAACGAGUAAUUCAUCUGACACCUUGUGGACCUGCUGUUUUUUUUCAGUUAUUAGCAAGUUAAUGUUCCCUGAUGGCACCAGAUACUAAAACCUUCCAAGAGUUGACAGAUUUAUUUAUGCACUAUUGCGACCCCAAGCGUCGCCGCCUUUUAUUUGAGAUGCUAUCCGUUUUACUCGGCAAUUCCAGAACCACGGGAAUCCGUGUUGGAAUGUUUAGGAUUAGGAUGACUAGCUGAGUAAUGUGAUCUUGGUUUAACCCUCAAUGAGAUGUUGAGAGACAAUUUGGUACGUGGGAUUAAUGAUGCAACCGUGCAAAAGCGACUACUAGCUGAAGCCGAACUAGACUGCAAACAGGAAGUACAGUUGGCUUUAUCAUUGGAAAAUAGAGCAAGUGGAGAACAUGAGUUGCAUGGUAUUCCAGUGGAAGUGGAUACCCUCACCAGGCUGAUUGAGCUUGGGGAAUGCUACUUGAGUAAUUGCAUCAUCACGCUCAGGAUAUAUCCUGGACAGCCCACAGCAAAACCCCAAAACAAAGCCAAGCCUCAGCCAAACAGUUAACGUUUUCAACAGGAACUGGGCCAGCAAGCUAGUGCACAGACUUGAGACAGCAAAGGAAGCCUAUGGGGCCUGACCUGAAUAAGAGAACUCACAGACCAAUAUCUAGGACAGUGUGCACCCUGGAAAGGCCACCUACAUCUGGCUUGGAGCAGUUACAUUGCUUAGCAACGUCCAAAUCAGAACCAAUCAGAAUAAACAUCUGGUUACAUAGACACCUGGUUCUCGUGGAGGUCGAUACUGGUGUGGCUGUACCAGUGUUUACAGAACCAAUCUUUAACAAAAUUCACUCUGGACCUUUCAGUUUGCGCAAGACCUCGGCUAGACUGAGAACCUAUAGCGGGGAAUCUUUACAGGUUAAUGGGACAAUUUCGGUUCCAGUCUCCUGUGAGGGGCAGUUGGUGCGGCCCCCACUGAUUGUAGUAAAAAGCUCUGCCCCAAAGCUUGAUGGGACAAAAUUGGUUAAAGACGGUUGACCGAGACUGGCUGAAUAUCCUUCGAUUAGAAAAUGCCUGCCUGAGUGAAGUCCUAAUUCAAAUCGGGGAAGUUUCUCAGGAAGGAUUAUCAAAGGAGCCAAGGCCACCUUGAAUGUUGACCAGGAAACAAUUCCGCGGUUCUGCCAGGCCCGCCCAGUGCUGUUAAAGUAGAGGUAGAAAUCAGGAGGCUGGAAUGCAAAGGAAUCAGCAAACCAGUCCAGUUCGGGCAGCACCAUUCGUACUGAUUGUGAAGCCCAAUGGGUUGGUUGGCCUUUGUGGAGAUUUUUAACAACAGCAAACCACUUUUCACAGCUGGAUAAAUAUGUAAUCUCUCGCAUCGAAGAUUUAGACACAAAGCUGCCGAGGGGGUGCUGUUCUUCACAAAACUGAACACGGGCUAUCUGUACUUGCAGUUGCAGUUAGAUGAGGAUUCCUAAAAGUAAGUUACAAUUAAUACCAGAGACAAUGGGAACUGCAGAUGUUGGAGAAUCCAAGAUAACAAAGUGUGGAGCUGGAUGAACACAGC
Stegostoma tigrinum is the source of this 9816-nucleotide RNA transcript. It is a transcript of the gene named vasohibin 1, with no coding region annotated. Lineage: Eukaryota; Metazoa; Chordata; Chondrichthyes; Orectolobiformes; Stegostomatidae. The transcript is spliced from 8 exons. The record is from RefSeq and is a predicted model, not a curated record.